GACGAACGCUGGCGGCGUGCCUAAUACAUGCAAGUAGAACGCUGAAGAGAGGAGCUUGCUCUUCUUGGAUGAGUUGCGAACGGGUGAGUAACGCGUAGGUAACCUGCCUUGUAGCGGGGGAUAACUAUUGGAAACGAUAGCUAAUACCGCAUAACAAUGGAUGACCCAUGUCAUUUAUUUGAAAGGGGCAAAUGCUCCACUACAAGAUGGACCUGCGUUGUAUUAGCUAGUAGGUGAGGUAACGGCUCACCUAGGCGACGAUACAUAGCCGACCUGAGAGGGUGAUCGGCCACACUGGGACUGAGACACGGCCCAGACUCCUACGGGAGGCAGCAGUAGGGAAUCUUCGGCAAUGGGGGCAACCCUGACCGAGCAACGCCGCGUGAGUGAAGAAGGUUUUCGGAUCGUAAAGCUCUGUUGUAAGUCAAGAACGAGUGUGAGAGUGGAAAGUUCACACUGUGACGGUAGCUUACCAGAAAGGGACGGCUAACUACGUGCCAGCAGCCGCGGUAAUACGUAGGUCCCGAGCGUUGUCCGGAUUUAUUGGGCGUAAAGCGAGCGCAGGCGGUUUGAUAAGUCUGAAGUUAAAGGCUGUGGCUCAACCAUAGUUCGCUUUGGAAACUGUCAAACUUGAGUGCAGAAGGGGAGAGUGGAAUUCCAUGUGUAGCGGUGAAAUGCGUAGAUAUAUGGAGGAACACCGGUGGCGAAAGCGGCUCUCUGGUCUGUAACUGACGCUGAGGCUCGAAAGCGUGGGUAGCAAACAGG
RNAcentral lists this ribosomal RNA (765 nucleotides) under uncultured Streptococcus sp. Its description in RNAcentral is "bacterial SSU rRNA". It matches the Rfam family "Bacterial small subunit ribosomal RNA", at positions 28 to 776 of the family's 1533-position model. Lineage: Bacteria; Bacillati; Bacillota; Bacilli; Lactobacillales; Streptococcaceae. The record is from RNAcentral.